This 468-nucleotide ribosomal RNA is filed under the name uncultured bacterium. RNAcentral's name for it is "partial 16S ribosomal RNA". It matches the Rfam family "Bacterial small subunit ribosomal RNA", at positions 28 to 507 of the family's 1533-position model. The record is from RNAcentral.
GACGAACGCUGGCGGCGUGCUUAACACAUGCAAGUCGAACGGAAAGGCCCUGCUUUUGUGGGGUGCUCGAGUGGCGAACGGGUGAGUAACACGUGAGUAACCUGCCCUUGACUUUGGGAUAACUUCAGGAAACUGGGGCUAAUACCGGAUAGGAGCUCCUGCUGCAUGGUGGGGGUUGGAAAGUUUCGGCGGUUGGGGGUGGACUCGCGGCUUAUCAGCUUGUUGGUGGGGUAGUGGCUUACCAAGGCUUUGACGGGUAGCCGGCCUGAGAGGGUGACCGGCCACAUUGGGACUGAGAUACGGCCCAGACUCCUACGGGAGGCAGCAGUGGGGAAUAUUGCACAAUGGGCGGAAGCCUGAUGCAGCAGCGCCGCGUGCGGGAUGACGGCCUUCGGGUUGUAAACCGCUUUCGCCUGUGACGAAGCGUGAGUGACGGUAAUGGGUAAAGAAGCACCGGCUAACUACGUG